GAUUAAUAACGACCAGAAAAAGCAGAUUUGUUUGUAGUAACCAUUUUUUUAUUUGAUGUUCUCGUUUGUAGGUAUUGUAUGGAACUGAUUUGUAAAAUCGAGUCUUUGGAAGCGGAUUUUACAAAGGAGUAGAAAUAAAACUUGUAAGAAGUGAUAUAGAUAAUACAUAGUUUCUGGUUGGAAUUUUGAACAACCUAACUAGUCUACUUGGCUCGUUAUUCUCGUUUGAAGAUUGUAAAAUCUUCGGUGUUCUCAUGCCAUGGCUCUAUGUGGGAAAUAUAUUUUUCAUCGUUUUCUUCGGUAAAGUUAUACUCUCAAUAUCAAAUCAUUUUGUAAUUUUGUUGGCUAAUUCUCACCAAAAUAUUUUAUAUUUUGCUAAAAGAGCCACUAUCACUAAGGAUUUACAGCUUGCUAAAAAGU
RNAcentral lists this small RNA (420 nucleotides) under Arabidopsis thaliana (thale cress). Its description in RNAcentral is "ATSL109880". The record is from RNAcentral. Lineage: Eukaryota; Viridiplantae; Streptophyta; Magnoliopsida; Brassicales; Brassicaceae.